UUAAUAAUGAUGACUGCGUACCCUACAAUCUUUGAACAGCUGCUUCUAGUGCAGUGCCAGCCGCACCCCUGAGGCACCAUGGUGAAACCGAAGGUCAGAAUAAAUGGUUUUGGUCAGAUUGGGUGCCUGGUCUGCAGGGCUGCUUUUAACUCUGCCAAAGUGGAUAUUGUCGCCAUCAGUGACCCCUUCAUUGACCUCAACUACAUGGUCUACAUGUUCUAGUAUGAUUCUACCCAUGGCAAAUUCCAUGGCACAGUCAAGGCUGAGAUUGGGAAGCUUGUCAUCAAUGGAAAUCCCAUAACCAUCUUCCAGGAGUGAGAUCCCACCAAAAUCAAAUGGGGUGAGGCAGGCGCUGAGUAUGUUGUGGAGUCCACUGAUGUCUUCACCAUCAUGGAGAAGGCUGGGUCUCACCUACAGGGGGCUGCCAAAAGGGUCAUCAUCUCUGCCCCUUCUGCUGAUGCCCCCAUGUUUGUGAUGGGUGUGAACCACGAGAAGUAUGAAAACAGCCUCAGCAUUGUCAGCAAUGCCUCCUGCACCACCAACUGCUUAGCCCCCUUGGCUAAGGUCAUCCACGAGAGGGACUCAUGACCACAGUCCAUGCCAUCACUGCCACCCAGAAGAGUGUGGAUGGCCCCUCUGGGAAGUUGUGUGAUGGUUGCGGGGCUCUCCAGAAUAUCAUCCCUCCAUCAACUGGUGCAGCCAAGGCUGUGGGCAAGGUCAUCCCUGAGCUGAAUGGGAAGCUUACUGGCAUGGCUUUCCAUGUCCCCACUGCCAACGUGUCGGUCGUGGAUCUCACCUGCCGUCUGGAGAAGGCUGCCAAAUAUGAUAUCAAGAAGGUGGUGAAGCAGACUUCAGAGGGCCCUCUCAAGGGCAUCCUGAGUCACACCGAGCACCAGGUCGUCUCCUCUGACUUCAACAGUGACAGCCAUUCUUCCACCUUUGAUGCUGGGGCUGGCAUUGCCCUCAAUGACCACUUUGUCAAACUCAUUGCCUGGUAUGAU
RNA transcript from Otolemur garnettii (small-eared galago), 1001 nucleotides. It is a transcript of the gene named glyceraldehyde-3-phosphate dehydrogenase pseudogene, with no coding region annotated. The record is from RefSeq and is a predicted model, not a curated record. Lineage: Eukaryota; Metazoa; Chordata; Mammalia; Primates; Galagidae. The transcript has 2 exons.